UACGUAGGGUGCGAGCGUUAAUCGGAAUUACUGGGCGUAAAGCGUGCGCAGGCGGUUCUGUAAGUCAGCUGUGAAAGCCCCGGGCUUAACCUGGGAACUGCGGUUGAAACUACAGGACUAGAAUCUGGCAGAGGGGGGUGGAAUUCCACGUGUAGCAGUGAAAUGCGUAGAGAUGUGGAGGAACACCGAUGGCGAAGGCAGCCCCCUGGGCUGAGAUUGACGCUCAUGCACGAAAGCGUGGGGAGCAAACAGG
This 253-nucleotide ribosomal RNA is filed under the name uncultured bacterium. Its description in RNAcentral is "partial 16S ribosomal RNA". It matches the Rfam family "Bacterial small subunit ribosomal RNA", at positions 524 to 776 of the family's 1533-position model. The record is from RNAcentral.